AAUAGCAUGAUUGCUUUUGUAGUUUACCUGAUUAAAAUCCCUUAGAUAAACCAUAUUAAAUGAUUUCUGCUGCACCUUUGUCUGUUUUUUAUUCUUUCCAAUUUUGUUUUUAUUCGAACCUAUUUAUUUAUAGAUCUAUCAUUACAUGUAAUGAUUUCAUCAAUAUAUAUAUAUAAACUUUUUUUUCUCUCUCUCAUCCUCUCUUUCGUUCAGUCGUUCUCUCCAUUUGUCGAUUUUCAGAUUUUGAAUCUCCACAGCUUGUCGCGAUUGGACACUUGCUGAGACUAAGGGAUUGUCAUUACUCGAAAUUAAGUUUUGAUGGGCACUGUUUGGAUUCUAGUAAAAAGAUACUGCGAUAAAUUUUGGAUUGGUUUGAAUUAGGAGUUCUGUAAUUCGCUUUUAGGCCGUUGGAUUUUGGGUGGAAUUCUUGAUCGAUAUCAAGGAAUUGAAAUUCAGCUUUGUUUUUUGUUGGUUUAAUUCUUUUUCGUGGUCAUGGUGGAUUUACAGUGAACCUGGAUUUCGUACUAUUUUAUUAUCUGUUGCUUGUGAUGGCUGAUGAAAGAUCGGAGCAGAUAGGAGCAUAGAAGAGGCUUGUUCGACUUACCCGUGUAUUCACGGUAUAUAGAAGCUUAUGAGUGAUGAUAGGAUAUGGCGCACAGUUCCUUGAGACAUAAGUUAAAGGGAUUGGUUAUCUAGUUGAUUCCCAAACUUCGAUUGUUUAAAGCUUUGGACAUGAGAAGCCCCUGGCUCAAUAAACUAUCUGUCAUUCUUGGCCCUAGACCGCCAGUCAGUUGGUUGUUCUUGUGCGUUGUCAGUUUGCUUGCGCUGAUUACAGUCUUUGGAUCGUCGUCUUCUAGUUCUUUUGACUCUGUAACCUCCACUUGGGUACCUGAGAAUUAUAAAAAUUAUAGAAGGCUAAAGGAGCAAGCUGCAAUUGAUUAUUUUGAGCUUAGAACUCUCUCAUCAGGUGCUAGUCGCCAAAGGGAGCUUGGCUUUUGUGGCAAAGAAAGAGAGAACUAUGUUCCUUGUUACAACGUGACAGCAAAUCUUUUAUCUGGGUUUAAAGAUGGAGAGGAAUUUGAUCGACAUUGUGAAGUAGUAGGGCAAGGAAAGUGGUGUCUAAUUCGCCCUCCUAAGGAUUAUAAGACUCCACUUCAAUGGCCUGCUGGUAGGGAUGUGAUCUGGAGUGGAAAUGUCAAGAUAACUAAAGACCAAUUCCUUUCUUCUGGAAGCAUGACAAAGAGAAUGAUGUUGCUAGAAGAGAAUCAAAUUGCUUUUCAAUCUGAUGCUGGCUUAACCUUUGACGGUGUCAAAGAUUAUUCUCGCCAGAUCGCAGAGAUGAUGGGACUAGGAAGUGACUCUGAAUUUUUACAAGCUGGGGUACGCACUGUGCUUGAUAUUGGCUGUGGAUUUGGAAGUUUUGGAGCUCAUUUAGUUUCAAUAAAGUUGAUGGCUCUUUGUAUUGCUGGAUAUGAGGCAACUGGAAGCCAAGUUCAGUUAGCUCUUGAGAGGGGUCUUCCAGCAAUGAUUGGCAAUUUCAUAACAAGACAACUGCCAUAUCCAUCAUUUUCAUUUGACAUGGUUCAUUGUGCUCAAUGUGGUAUUCCUUGGGACAAGAAAGAGGGGAUGCUUCUCAUAGAAGUAGAUCGGUUACUCAAACCUGGAGGGUAUUUUGUUUUAACCUCACCCAAAAGUAAGUCACAUGGAAGUGCAACAGGUACAAAGAUAAGAAACAUGCUAACACCACUGGAACAAUUCCCUGAAAAAAUUUGUUGGAGUCUUAUUGCUCAGCAGGAUGAGACGUUCAUCUGGCAGAAAACUGCUGAUUCUCAGUGCUAUUCUUCUCGCAAGCAGAAUGAUGUACCCCUUUGCAAAGGACAUGAUGCUUCCUAUUAUCAGGCCUUGAGCCCAUGCAUUAUUGGACCUUCCAGCAAACGCUGGAUUCCUAGUCAGAACAGGUCCUCUAGCUCAGAAUUGAGCUCUGCGGAGCUUGCACUUCAUGGAGUCAGUCCAGAAGAUUUCUUUGAAGACUUGCAAGGUUGGAAAUUAGCUUUAAAAAACUAUUGGUCUUUGCUUACUCCAUUAAUUUUCUCUGAUCAUCCCAAGAGGCCAGGUGCUGAAGAUCCAUUGCCUCCAUUUAAUAUGGUACGCAAUGUGAUGGACAUGAAUGCUCAUUAUGGGGGUUUAAAUGCUGCAUUCCUGGAGGAAAAGAAAUCAGUGUGGGUGAUGAAUGUGGUGCCUGUUACGUCACGUAAUAUGCUACCUCUUAUUCUUGACCGAGGUUUUCCCGGUGUUUUGCAUGACUGGUGUGAACCCUUCCCAACAUAUCCUCGAACAUAUGACAUGCUUCAUGCAAAUGGGCUCCUCUCGCACCUCUCUUCAGAGAGGUGCAGUUUGAUGGACUUGUUUGUAGAGAUGGACCGAAUCCUGCGUCCUGAGGGUUGGGUUGUGCUUUAUGAUAAAUUAGGAGCUAUAGAGUUGGCACGUGCGCAUGCUACACAGAUACGAUGGGGUGCAAGAGUGAUCGACAUUCAGAAUGGUAGUGAUCAGAGGCUACUGAUUUGUCAGAAACCAUUUUUGACAAAAUGAUUGAUCAAAGAAGGAUCAGGUCUCAAGACCACAGAUUUGUACACUGUUUUUUAUCUGCAUCAGACUGUGAGAUAUGAUGUGGAGUCGAGACAGGUUUGACAUUUAGUGACUGAACAAGGAACAAAGGUUGAAGGCUGUAGAUUAGAAAAGGAGGUAGCUGCAAAAUGUAGCUGCUCUACCUUUUACCUUUUUCUUUUUUUAAAAAUUUUGGUCAAGGCUUUGUAGCAAUUCAUUCAUCCAUGUCAUUUCUUUACCUACUUUAUAGUGAACUCCUUGUAUCGAACCAUCAUUGCGGUGCAAUUGCCACGAAAUGUGAUUAGUACAAAA
This is an RNA transcript of Gossypium arboreum, 2916 nucleotides long. It is a transcript of the gene named probable methyltransferase PMT5, with no coding region annotated. NCBI's taxonomy places the organism in Eukaryota, Viridiplantae, Streptophyta, Magnoliopsida, Malvales, Malvaceae. The record is from RefSeq and is a predicted model, not a curated record. The transcript has 10 exons.